This 58-nucleotide transfer RNA is filed under the name Dipodomys ordii (Ord's kangaroo rat). It matches the Rfam family "tRNA", at positions 8 to 63 of the family's 71-position model. Rfam says of the family: Transfer RNA (tRNA) molecules are approximately 80 nucleotides in length. Lineage: Eukaryota; Metazoa; Chordata; Mammalia; Rodentia; Heteromyidae. The record is from Rfam by way of RNAcentral.
UGGCUUAGUGGUAGAGUGUUUGCCUUGCAUGCAUGAGGGCCUGAGUUCGAUUCCUCAG